GAAGUCAGUGCAAUAACUUGUUCUUCUACUGUGGCAGGCCAGGGCACGCACUCACUUCCUGCCUCUCAUGGACCCCAGCCAGAAAAGUAUCGGGGAAAAAAACAAGCCCAAAUUUUCAUGGAAACCCAGCUGGGUCCACUAGGGUCCUUACCGCAUCUCCAAGUUCCAGUUCAGUUUUGCAUCUCCAGAGAAACAUGACAGGUAGCACUGCAUUAGGCACUUAUUGAUUCUGGGUCUGCAGACAAUAUCAUAAAUUUUGAGACAACCCAAGGUCUGCAUAUCUUGUCCGGCAGAAGUCACAUCAGAUGUUGUGGAAAUCAUUGACAAGAUCCUCUUGUCCUCAGGACUGGUGACUCAGAUGAUGGUGCCCCUGAAAGCGGUAACCCAGGCUCUGGGAUCUGUCUGUGCCUCCUACAUCAAUGGAGCCUGCAGCUGGCCCAGAUUGGGGAGCCAUGACCUCAUCCUGUCAAGCGAGAACAACUGCUUCUCAGUGAUGCUUAGAUGGCAAAUCGCACCCCCCUCAUGGAGGAAAAGCAUCUCCAAAGGAGGUGUAAUGAUCCUGAACUCUAUUGCCUGCACGAAGCUUCAGACUGGAGCUCCAGCAGAUUCCCCUGAAGAACAGCACCCUGUCUUUCUGUGGUCAGGCUAGGGCUCUCCCUCUGUCAUGGAGGUGAAGACCGGAUGGGAGCUGAUGGAUUGACUUUGAUAUGUCAUGUCCUUGUGUGGAUGAGGGACCUACAUCACAGAGAUGGCCAGUAGCAGAUGUACCACACGUGGCCAGGAAUGGGCUACACAACUUAUAA
This is a long non-coding RNA of Caretta caretta (loggerhead turtle), 803 nucleotides long. RefSeq lists it as uncharacterized. NCBI's taxonomy places the organism in Eukaryota, Metazoa, Chordata, Testudines, Cheloniidae. The record is from RefSeq and is a predicted model, not a curated record.